CAAACCCUAGAUUCGGAUCCGCCAUCAACAGGCUCCGCCAUCAACAGGCUCGAACGCCCUCUCCUCAAACCCUACCAGAUCUUGUCGUUCGGCGCCUCAAACCCCAGAUUCGGAUCCGCCAUCACCAUAGAGGUGGGGGCUGACGGCAUAGCGCUCAUCACCAUCGCCAACCUGCCCGUGGUGGAUGCGCCAUCGCCUGAGGUGAGCCGCGGGGAAAUGAGGGAUCCUUGGAGGCAGAGCUGGCGUCGCGUCGCUGGUGGACGCUGGUGCUGGUGAACAUGGCGUCGGUGCUGGAAAAGAUAGACGAGAUGUUGCUGCUCGCCGUGUACAAUAAGGUGUGCACGUCGCUGGGCGCUUCUCGACGGCGCUGGGCUCCCAAACCCUUUGUCGCGCGCUCGUUCAAGCCGCCUACUACCUACUCAAAGCCUACGCCUCCGCGCGCCAUGAUCGGGCCCGUGUCGUCGCUGUCGGAGCCUUCACCUGGGCCACCAUCGCCUUCCUCGUCGCCAUCUCCGGCAGCUUCCUCUAGGAAGGCCAUCUGGUAUUUCGAAGGAAUCUAUGCGUACUCCCCUCAGAUACCAGGUGUUCGUUUCCCAUGAUUAACCCAUCCUGGUAUAGUGGGAACUGCACCGUCAGCCAAACUUCUUAAUGUAUGGAAUGAGAGGGAGAAAAGAUUGGCCGAGACAAGCCCACAGACCCUUAAACUGUUUGAAGUGCUACACCAGAGGCCCCUUGCCAAUUUACCGACCCCUGAGAACUGCUUACUUGGAAAGAUUCAGGAGGGGACUGCUGGAUGGCACAAAGUGGCGAAUGAAGCAGCCAGGACUAUUCCGGGAAGGGAGAAUGGUGGUAAUUGUGACAUAAAAAACCUAAGCAGAGGUUCCAAAGUUUAUCUGCCAGUAUUUGUCGAAGGAGCGAAUCUUAGCACCGGUGAUAUGCACUUCUCUCAGGGCGAUGGUGAAGUUUCGUUUUGUGGAGCAAUUGAAAUGAGUGGAUUCCUUGAGCUCAACUUCUUCCAGGGAUUCAUCCCUUUGAUCCAUCCAUCAAAAACAAAGUUCAGUGCAGCGGUGGUUUUGUUGUAAUGGGUCAGAGGUGGCAGCAGGACCAUUGGCACCUUCAUCAAUUUAAGUUCAGUGCAGCGGUGAGGUUCGACAUGCCCCGUGCCUACUAUCACUCUCGAUUUGAAGAAGAGUCUCAAGAUUCUGCAGGUGUUGUGUUACUCCUAAUUCAGUUACCUUACUGGCAAUAGGAUGCCAUUGCAACUUCUGAAAGUGCAACCAUCUGAUUGAAGCGGAUUUAAUUAUACAAGAUAGAUCUAGAAUUGCUUUACUUGAGAUUCAAGCAAUGUUGGAUGCUUUUGUGACUGAUCAUCUCUGGAGCUUUUGUGAAUGAUCUAGCUAGCUAUCUGUAAAUGAUCUUGUUGUGAAUGAUAUUAUAAUUGUGAUGUUUUUUGUGAAUAUAUAAUUGUGGUGCUUUUGUGUUUAUGUGAUGGAUCUAUGACUGUGGUAUACUGAUUAAUUGUGUAUGUCUUUAUGAUUUGUGUAUAAAAAUCUAUGAUUUGUGGUGCUUAA
Molecule: RNA transcript, 1571 nt
Organism: Zea mays
Lineage: Eukaryota; Viridiplantae; Streptophyta; Magnoliopsida; Poales; Poaceae
Gene name: putative formamidase C869.04
Exons: 6
Source: RefSeq, a predicted model, not a curated record